AACGGGUGGCGGGUUGCCGCCGUGCUUAGGCGCGGAGGAAAGUCCGGGCAUCGCAGAGCAAAGUGCCGGCUAACAGCCGGAGCCGGUAACGGUAUGGAUAGCGCAACAGAAAACAAACCGCCGGCCCGGAAACAGGCCGGUAAGGGUGAAAAGGCGAGGUAAAAGCUCACCGCGCCUUUGGUAACAAAGGCGGCAGUGCAAGCCCCACUUGAUGCAAGACCAAACAGAAAUGAAUACGCUGCUCGCGUUUCGCUUUGCGGCAUUUCGGGUAGGUCGCUGGAAGCCACCGGCAACGGUGGCUCAAGAGAAAUGGCAGCCACGCAUUUUGCGAACAGAACCCGGCUUAUAGCCACCCGUUUUUA
This 362-nucleotide RNase P RNA is filed under the name Candidatus Fibrimonas sp. RNAcentral's name for it is "RNase P RNA component class A". It matches the Rfam family "Bacterial RNase P class A". From Rfam's summary of the family: Ribonuclease P (RNase P) is a ubiquitous endoribonuclease, found in archaea, bacteria and eukarya as well as chloroplasts and mitochondria. Its best characterised activity is the generation of mature 5'-ends of tRNAs by cleaving the 5'-leader elements of precursor-tRNAs. Cellular RNase Ps are ribonucleoproteins. The record is from RNAcentral. Lineage: Bacteria; Pseudomonadati; Fibrobacterota; Fibrobacteria; Candidatus Fibrimonadales; Candidatus Fibrimonadaceae.